Mauremys reevesii (Reeves's turtle) is the source of this 816-nucleotide long non-coding RNA. RefSeq lists it as uncharacterized. The transcript has 3 exons. Lineage: Eukaryota; Metazoa; Chordata; Testudines; Geoemydidae. The record is from RefSeq and is a predicted model, not a curated record.
CUGGCCCAGUCAGGCUCUGGGAGGAAACUCUGGGACUGGGCACUCCAUAAAACAGGUAGUUCCCAGGGCCGGCGUCCCUUGAUGAUCCCGGGGAGGUGGAGUGUUUAUGGGCUACUGGCUCAGGGCUUUAAACUAGCGAGAGCGUCAGCUGGGAGGGCACCUGUGGGUGUUCUCGUGUGCCUGGUAUAGCUGCCCCAAGUGCCCACAGCUGUGGUACUAUUCACUCCCCGCUCUGCUGAUAGGACUAAGCUCAAAGGUGUGGCUUUCUCUCCCCUUACCCUAUGGGGCGGGGGGUGAUGGGUGACCAGGUGUAGCAGCAAAGUUUUGCUCUCUGCACUGAUAUCCCCCUGGAGUGGUCCUGGGUACGCUGGAGGCUUUCUGGCAAGCCCAUAAGACCUGCUGGGAGCCUCUCCUAGCUGGGAGUCACUGUAUAGCCUGCUGCGGGUGGGGAGGUCUCAUCUUCCCCUCGCCCUCCUGUGGACCUCGUUAAAGAAACCCUGGUGCUGCUGAGGCUGACUCAGGUCUGUGCAGUGUGGGCACAUCUAUCUGCUCCCCCGAUAGCCAGGGCUGCUCUGAAUGUGCUGCUGUACGUGGGUUGCUGGCGCCUAUGACUGCGGCUGGGAAAAUCCAUCUGCUGCUGGGGAAAGGACUGAAAGCAGCACAAGGCCUUUGCCGCUCUCAAGACCCAUUGCUUACGUGAGACUUAUGGUGAAGCUGGGCUGGCCGUCGGCGUGGGGGUGAAUUUCAGCCCAGGAGAUCAGUGAGAAAUCUGCCCAUUCCUGUCGUUCUUCAGCAUCUUCCCCUCCAGCAGCAUAU